This 352-nucleotide ribosomal RNA is filed under the name uncultured bacterium. RNAcentral's name for it is "bacterial SSU rRNA". It matches the Rfam family "Bacterial small subunit ribosomal RNA", at positions 172 to 507 of the family's 1533-position model. The record is from RNAcentral.
GAUAUAUAGAGGUGAUACGUUACUUUAUAUUAAAAAGAAGCCUUUAAAGCUUCACUUAAAGAUGAGCCUGCGGCGUAUUAGCUAGUUGGUAAGGUAAUGGCUUACCAAGGCGACGAUGCGUAGCCGAACUGAGAGGUUGAUCGGCCACAUUGGGACUGAGACACGGCCCAAACUCCUAUGGGAGACAGCAGUUAGGAAUAUUCGUCAAUGGGGGAAACCCUGAACGAGCAAUGCCGCGUGAGUGAUGACGGUCCUUUGGAUUGUAAAACUCUUUUAUUAGGGACGAACGACUAGUAUAGGAAAUGAUACUAGAGUGACGGUACCUUUUGAAUAAGCCCCGGCUAACUACGUG